AUUGAACGUUGGCGGCAGGCCUAAAACAUGCAAGUCGAACGGUAACAGCGAGAGCUUGCUCUCGGCUGACGAGUGGCGGACGGGUGAGUAAUACGUAGGAAUCUACCUAGUAGUGGGGGACAACCCGGGGAAACCCGGGCUAAUACCGCAUACGCUCUACGGAGGAAAGCGGGGGAUCUUCGGACCUCGCGCUGUUAGAGGAGCCUGCGUCGGAUUAGCUAGUUGGUGGGGUAAAGGCCUACCAAGGCGACGAUCCGUAGCUGGUCUGAG
This 270-nucleotide ribosomal RNA is filed under the name uncultured bacterium. RNAcentral's name for it is "partial 16S ribosomal RNA". It matches the Rfam family "Bacterial small subunit ribosomal RNA", at positions 30 to 296 of the family's 1533-position model. The record is from RNAcentral.